AGAGUUUGAUUCUGGCUCAGGAUGAACGCUGGCGGCGUGCCUAACACAUGCAAGUCGAGCGAUUCUCUUCGGAGAAGAGCGGCGGACGGGUGAGUAACGCGUGGGUAACCUGCCUCAUACACAUGGAUAACAUACCGAAAGGUAUGCUAAUACAGGAUAACAUAAGAGAUUCACAUGGAUUUCUUAUCAAAGCUCCGGCGGUAUGAGAUGGACCCGCGUCUGAUUAGCUAGUUGGUAAGGUAACGGCUUACCAAGGCGACGAUCAGUAGCCGACCUGAGAGGGUGAUCGGCCACAUUGGAACUGAGACACGGUCCAAACUCCUACGGGAGGCAGCAGUGGGGAAUAUUGCACAAUGGGCGAAAGCCUGAUGCAGCAACGCCGCGUGAGUGAUGAAGGCCUUCGGGUCGUAAAACUCUGUCCUCAAGGAAGAUAAUGACGGUACUUGAGGAGGAAGCCCCGGCUAACUACGUGCCAGCCGCCGC
This 483-nucleotide ribosomal RNA is filed under the name uncultured bacterium. Its description in RNAcentral is "bacterial SSU rRNA". It matches the Rfam family "Bacterial small subunit ribosomal RNA", at positions 8 to 518 of the family's 1533-position model. The record is from RNAcentral.